RNAcentral lists this ribosomal RNA (253 nucleotides) under uncultured bacterium. Its description in RNAcentral is "partial 16S ribosomal RNA". It matches the Rfam family "Bacterial small subunit ribosomal RNA", at positions 524 to 776 of the family's 1533-position model. The record is from RNAcentral.
UACGGGGGGGGCAAGCGUUGUUCGGAAUUACUGGGCGUAAAGGGCCAGUAGGCGGCCAACUAAGUCGGAUGUGAAAUCCCCAGGCUUAACCUGGGAACUGCAUCCGAUACUGGAUGGCUUGAAUUCGGGAGAGGGAUGCAGAAUUCCAGGUGUAGCGGUGAAAUGCGUAGAUAUCUGGAGGAAUACCGGUGGCGAAGGCGGCAUCCUGGACCGAUAUUGACGCUGAGGCGCGAAAGCCAGGGGAGCAAACGGG